GUAUGAGGGUGUUGGAAGCCCUGGAACUGGAGUUACAGACAGCUGUGAGAUGCCUCGUGGUUGCUAGGAAUUGAAUCCAGCUCCCCUGAACCACCAGCUCACACCCGACUCACACCUCCCAGUUCCCCUUUCCAGCCCUCACCUUCUUACAGAAACAGACCCACACUCGUGUACCCUGGAGCUCACCCCAGCAUGGACUGGGCAUGAUCUCAAGGAAGGACAAGCUCACAGUAGUCCCUCACUCAGACAGUACUGACUCAGUGCCCUCGAAUCAGAGAAGCAGACGGCUUCUCCCUCCUCCUUUCAGCCAACAAAACACCGCCACGAGAGGUGGUAGGUUCCGAGCCAGUGGGGUUCAGGGACACAAAGAAGCACCACAGCUGCUGCUUAGCACCCUCCAAACCACACCCCAACUGCACACCACACCACCACCGCAGCAGCCCACCAUGCCAUACUUCCCCUACUGGGCCCUGUUGGGCUAUAGAAAAAAAUGUCCUACAAAGAAACAAUAUAAGUAUUUUCUAUUGCUUCCCAGGACCGGAGCAAAGCCCUUACCUCGGAAGAGUGUCACCCUCAGAACACCCUCCUCCCCCAAAAAAUACACAAACCACUUGGCAUGGUUAAAAGCUGACAGGGCAUGGGAAGGGAUAUUCCACAAGGGUUGACACAGUUUUCAGGCUCACAACAGGAUACCUUUAAAAGAAGCCCACCUUCUACCAUGAGAAACGAAAGACAGAAAUAGACUCCACAGCAGCAAGGGAAGGGACUGGCAGGCGUGGGGGUUUUUUUUCUCUUCUUUUUUUAAAGAUUUGUUCUGAUCUAUGUUCUCCCACUAAUAGUUUAAGCAAACCCACAUUGUUCCCAAGGAGAUAUUCCUUACUAAAAGCUGGUUGCCACAGCUCUGCUCAGCACUACUCUGGAAUUCUAUUCUCCAAACUGGGAUGCCUCCUUUCACAGCAAGGGUCAGGCCAUCCUGGGAAAUCAGCAAGAGGACAAGUGUAGGUGUACCUCACACUGUGACCCACAGACUUAGGACUCUCUUCCUUAUGGUCCACCAAGUGAUCUCCUCAAACCCAAGGACCAGAGAGGGAUAAGGAUGCACCUAGGUCACACAGUAAGCCAGAGGCCAAGGAUACCAGCCCUGGCUUUCAAUGCUGAUUUUAUACAUUCACCUGCAUAACGUUUUUUGCUGGCUAUCCAUCACUCUUGGCAAGCAGACAGCCCCAGGAGGGUCUGCUUCAGACUGCCCUAUUCACUGGUGAUAUCUGCACAGUCUGGAAGGAAUAAGUACCUGCUAGGUGGGUGGAUGAGUGGGUCCAAGCCUGGACCAAUAGAUGUUGAAAGAAUAGGCUCUCAUUUCAGGAUGGGGGUGUACUUCUGUGAGCCACGCCCCUCUGCUAGAUGCUGGAGUAUCUCCCCUCCUCUCAGUGUGUCCCCAGCUGGUGGUCAGGUGGAUAUUCCGCAAGCUCACAGAGGUCCAAGAUCAGGCCGGGGACAGAGCUCUAGGAGCCCAGGCAGGGAAGUUCAAGUCCACUUUGAUUCUUGUGAUCUUUGGCUUCCUGGAUGUUAAGCACCACCUGGGGUCAAGGAAUGGUUCUUGGACCAGAAAGCUUCAAGCUAUACGGAGGAGUGGGGAGAAGAUGGAGAACAAAGGACUGGGUUCAGCUGAGAACCCCAGCCUACAAGGAGAGGUGAGCCAGAUCUGGUAAUGAUUCUAGCAUCAAACUCUUCUUUUGAGUUAGUCACAGAGUUCACAGAGCGCUAACGGAGCCACUGGAAGCCGCUUGAGCAGGAGAUCGGCUCAGCAUUCCCUCCUAGAUGGUACAGAGAGGUGCCCAGAGACAUGGCGGGUGGUCAGGAGGCUGGAUACCAGGUGCCAGCUGGUGAUAGAAUGAAGGUCCUUGAAAUCAUGACCAGCCUUCCAUUGGGGCUGAUCGGCCCUGGAGCAGGGGCAGAGUCCUCAGAACGGCCCUUUUCCAGCGCCCUUCACCCACUAGGCAUGACUGCACAGAUCCACAGGCUAGCCACACUUCUCUACCCCCUGCCAAGCAUCUAGCAACCUCAGCCUUCGGGCUUUCCAUAGGAAGGGGGUUGGUUGAUGGAACAUGGCAACUAGUAACAUUCCACUUCUACCCUGUUACGAGCACCAUGGAAACAGGACACUCAGAAUGUCCCAGCUAGGAGACCUAGCCUCAAAGCUCCAUCUACUAAAUGGAGAUACCAAGGCUGGGGUGGAAGGGUGGGGGAUGGAGAUGGGACAAGGUGAACAGACUAACCAACCAGUCCAGGAGACGGGUAGGCUCAGUUAGCAGAUGUCUCCUGUCCACUGGAUGCCCAACAAGUGUGGGCAGAAUGUCCUUCUCGCCCACCCUUCCCCCAUGCAUCUUAGUCCUGGGCUGACCAGAACAGUUCAUCAGUACCAGGCUCCAGGUUCUUCCCCAAGCUCUCUGGGAGUUGGGUCCUGGAUUGUGAUUCUCUCUCAAGCAGCCUGCCCUUGGGGAGGGGGAGGGUGGCGCUUCCUUCCCGCCCUGUUCCCAUUAACUGAGACUAAAUAACAUCAGGGAAACACUGAGGUGAGGGUCUGGGGUGUGGCUCAGUGGCACAGAACCUGCCUAACUGUAGAAAUCCUGGGUUCCAGCCCCAGAAAAGUCGGUUGCACAAAAUCUUGCCAGUGUCCUUAACCUACCUCCCAGAAGGGGAGUUUUACAUAAUCAGAAUGGUGGGCACAGCAGAGGCAGGGAAACUGAAUAAUAGGUAAUUUGAAGGCUGGAUCUCUUCCAAGGAGAAACACCUCACCAGAGCUCCCAGUCCCUGAGGUGGGUGGGUGGGGCUGGUUAGCUGAGUGAUCCCAAAGUCCACAGUCCCUGAACUCCACAGUCAAUGGACCACUCUUCCGCACACCUGCGACCUGUUCCCAAGUGCCUGCCCUCAGCAUAAAAGGCCUGGGAUUGUACAUUAACCUCCAGAUACUCAUCUUCCCCCACUCCCUAUGUUGGUCUCCCUCUCCCGAGGGACUGCAAGCCGCCCAGCACCAGACACUGGUUUAUUCAUUGCUGCCCUUCCGACCCCUGGGAUGGUGCCUGACAUACAGUAGGUGCUCAGUAAGCAUCUGCGGUGCAACCGGUGGUACACACCUGCAGUUUCAGCCACCUGGGAAGCUGAGGCAGGAGAAUUGAAUGGGUGAGAUCCUGUAUUUAAAAAGACACGUGUUCCUCCUGUCAGUGGUAAGGGCUCAGGCGGCUGUUCACCUUCAGGGCAAGUUGGAAGUCACUGAGUGAGGCGACACCCUCACUGAGCUGUAGUCUGGGUGGUCAGCUAGGACAGAAGAGGCCAGCGGGUCACAAGCCAAGGAUGUGCACAGUGGACCGGCGUGGGCUUGUAUGUUCUGCAGUGUGUUCUGCAGGGCAUUCUGCAGGGUGGCAGGUCAUAAUGGGCCAUUGUUUGUACAGACCAAGUGGCAGAACCUGGAACAGUACGGUGCUGUUUUUGUUAAAAACAAAACCAAACCACAGCUGGCUGGCUGGCUGGCUGGCUGGCUGGCUGGCUGACUGACCUGCUGAGCAAAUCCUUACACCCACAAGGAAAUGAAAACGGACCCAGAAAGUGAUAAAAGCAGACUGCGUUCCGACAGACACUCCAGGGACCACACAGCUAAAGUUGCAUGUGAGAGCAAUAGAUCGCCUUAAGGUCUUUAUUUAGUCAUUUUUAGCGUUGGGGAUAGAACCCAGGGCCUCACACUUGGCAAGUACACACUCGGUAGCUUAUACCCUCAACCUAGCCUUAUAUAUGGAUAUUUUGUAAUGAUCUAAAGGGGAUACAUUUUAGCUUAUAACAGUUCUGUAUCACUUGAGGUAUACAGUUCUUGUAACUAAACAUGAAUCAUUUGGUAGUUUGUCAAAUGAAAUGGUAUGUCCAUUCAAAAAUCUAGCGCACAAGGUCCGCAGGAGAUUCUCUCACAAUCCUACACCUACAGACGAAGCAUCUGCAGGACAGAUGGACAAGCUGUUUUAUGGUUAUGCCUCUUGCCCAGAGGGCACUCUAUAGUAUUCGAACACAGAAAGCAAUGACCUCCAGUUUACACUGCUUUCUAUCCCCCUCACACAUAAUCAAGAUAAAGUUUAAUUUAUAAAUUAGUCAUUCUGAGAGCAACGGCUCAUAAUAAAACAGAACUAUAACCCUAUGCUGUCAUAAAAUGUAUCCAGCAACACAUGAAACUGCUCAUUUCUGGAAUUUUCCAUUUAACAGUCAGUGCUACGGUUAGCCAUACAUAAUGCACACAUACAUACAGUACCAGGAUUACAAGGGUGAUUCACCAUGCCUGGCACAAAUCCACUGAUAUGAGGAGGUGACUUGGCAAAAUUCAUUCACAGUGACAGACAUCUCAAAGUGACUCUCUUAAGGGGCGGAGAGGGCUGGGGAUGUGGUUCAGUGGCAUAGUGUCUGACAAGCAAGGGUGAAGUCCUUAUCCCCUCCUCAAGCAGAAAAGCAAGGCGUGGAGGAGCUAAAGAGAAACCAUUGCAGAAAAGACAGCCGCUGUGUGAGCAGGAGAACGAAUGUGCUCAGUGACUCAUGGCACCUUAUCACUGAGACCUUUGGAAACUUUUGGAGAAUUAAACCUCUCACAAGUCAAGGGAGGGGGCUUUGGGAGAACCCAGCCCCAGGCUUUCGGUGCACAGGAUCAGUCAGGCGUAUGAACUCAGUAUGUGAGAGGCCAUGGACUGUCAGAGCAGUCACAAGUCUCAAGCAGGGCAGCCUGCGCUGAAUCCAGCCCCAGAUACUCCGCUGCUUUGCCUGUGCUGGGCUCCAUCCACCGUGAUUUGGGUUCAUUGCCAGGAAUCAAAAUAGAGCAUGCCCACUAGCCUGCUGCAGCCUGGGACUCAGCCAAAGCUGGAGCCCCAAGCAGGAAGCACCCAGGAGGCUGGUUCCCUAGCAGUGCCCGGCAUGUGGCUAGCGCAGAGGAUCAUGGGAAACCAUUGCCGGAUGUGGUCUUGGGGAGGUAUUGCCACGAGGAAUCCUGCCCCCUUGUACAAGGAUGAAUGGCUGCACAAUUCAUGGCAGCUAAAAAUGGAAACAGCCUGGUUGUAUCAACAGGAAAAUAGAAGCUGAGUGAUUGCAGCUCUAGCAAAAGGACUCCUGGGAUGCGCAGAACCACGAGGGAGCUCUGAAUGCACCGGAGGCGAGAAGAGAUGCAAUGGCUGAUGUGGCUUCUGGUGCUCCAAGUCUCAGUCUCCCUACAUAGUCUGUCACCUGAUCUACACCCCGAGUUUGGAAUGACUUGUAGUCAGCCACUGGAAGAGCCCUCUGAGUGCCAGGCACCGAGCAUCACUGCCCAGAAUCUGUGAGGUAGCCCAGCAUGUUGAUGUGUAUGCCUUUGUCCAUUUCACAGGUGAGAAAAAUGGGACUCAGAGAGGUUAAAAGCCUGAGAGGAAUCAGCCAGCUUCUAAGAAACAGAAAAUCACAAGCUGGUCCCCAGAUGAUAUGGUUCCUGCCACCCUUUAUACUGAAUUAUAUGAAAACUGAAGAAAAAAAGACCCCUGGGAGACAUCUCAUCCCUGGGAGAUGGUCAGGAUGGGACCUGGCUUGACCAGGAGGUUGUCCAGGGUCAGAGAACGCCCUCAGUUCUGGAGACGUGGCUCAUCAGGUAAGAGUGCACGUCACUGUUGUAGAACGCCAGAGUGUGGGGGACCCAUACUGAGGGACACACAGUUGCCGGUGACUCCAGCUCCAGGGGAUCUGACACCCUCCUCCCCAGCCCUCUGUGCACUUGGGCACAUGCUCACUCGAAUGUCUAUAUACCCUCACAGACACAUAAAAAAUGAAAACAAAUUUAGAAACCCCAACCACCCCCAAUCCCACAUGAGGACACAGCAUGUAGACCACAGUGGGCAUGUAGAAUACUUCUUCAACUGGGCAUGAUGGUCUGUAAUCCCAGCACCUAGAGCAAGAAGACUGUCAUGAGUGAGUUCUAAGCCAGCCUGAGGUAAAGUGUGAAGCCCUGUCCUACUAAAAGACCCUCCCCACACGCAUACCGUUUUUUCUUUAAAAAAAAAAAAAAGGUACUUUUUCCCCUGGACAAUGAAUUGGAACAGCCUGAGACAGACUCUAAGCUUCUGUAUCCUUGUUUGUAACGUGGGAUUAGUCAUUCCUACCCAGAACAUCUGAGAGUUAAAAUUCAUGGAGGGGCUGAGAUGUGGCUGGUUAGCAGAAUGCUUACCUAGCGUGCACAAAGCCCUGGGUCCAUCCCCAGCACCACUGAAACCCAAUGUGGUGAUGCAUGCUUAGGACAUUUGCACUGGAGAGGCAAAGGUGGAUGAGGAAUUCAAGAAAAAAAAAGUGAAGAGUGUCUAAUGAACCUUUAGACUAUGAAAAUACGGGGUGCUUCAAAGUAGGGAAUGAGAGAAGGGAUCACCACACCUGUGUCAUGGAUGAAGACUGCCUGUUCAUUUUUUAACUAUGAUUUUCAGGUCCUUUGCUCACCAAAGGAAGCCCAAUUCACUCAAAUGUUUUGAGAACUGUUUAAAUAAAUGCAAGAAAAAUUACUGAUAAAAAAAAAAGAGCAUCCUGGGCUAUAUAAUGAGUUUGAGGUCAGCCUGGGCUACAUGAGACUCAGUCAGUUAAUCAAUCAAUCAAUCAAUCAAUCAAUCAAAGAAUGAAAAGAUCCAGGGCCACUCUGUUAGCAGGCCAGGCUCUCACCACAGGCAGGAAGCCAGCCAGAACCCUGGGCUACCUGUCUCUCUCUCUUUACUGGUGGGAUGGUCUUUGUAGGUAUGCCUUGAUCCCACAUUUGGCUUCAGGAAGAGAGACUAUCUUCCUUCCAUUAUCUGGGUAAGGUUUAACCCAAAUCCAAGUCAUGAGAGGCCUCCAAAGACCUCCUUGCAGCUUAGACUCAAGGCUACCAGCUUUUGCCCACAUUAUCAAGGCUCCACAAUUCAGUCGUCAGCUCAUGCCCCAAACAUAUGAUCAUGUCACCCAGCACAGGAAGAAACCCCUCCUCCAGCUACCUCCACCCUUCUCCCUCCCCAUCUCUGGGGAGCAACAGUUGUUUCUCUCAGAGUUUCCACAAGCUUCUCCACCCCUCAGACCAAUAACCCUCUGUGCCUGGCACAGGCCCUGCCCUUCUUGCCAGGGGCAGCUGCUACUGGGGGAGCUGCCUACCCACGCACUCUCUGGCACCAGGCACUGGUUUAGCAUAAACAGGAGUCCACAGACAGAGCCGACCUAGAGCUCCCUCGGAAAGUGUCCCAGCUGGGACAGUAGCAGAGCCAAGCAGAGGCACAUGUGGGUGCCCUGGGUGCUAGGGUUGGCUUCUUCUAACCUUGGCUGGUUGAUCUAAUCAGAACCACCCUCACAGGGAGGCCAAACGGCACCACCCCAGAUGGAGAGGUUGCAGGUGUGCUCAGGAGCUUGGGUGCAGCUCCAGCACAGAGUGUGAUUUUGGGUUUGGUGCCCAAAAUACAACUCAGGGCAGAACACAGAGGUCAUAGGGGCAUUCGGGAGUGUGUGUAGCACAGGGAGGGUGUGUUGUCCUAGGUCCGUCCCCUAGUUUAGGACUGAGAACAGCCCCUCUGUACGUUGCUCUUGGUGCCCCUGUGUGAUACUGAGCAUGGGGACUGAGCUGAGCCAAUAUUCUAACCUGCCCCUGCUUUGGGGGUGAUAGGGGGAUGGUGAGGAAGGUGGUACUCCCUAGAGGGAUUCCGGUAAAAGUUCAGGGUCAGGAUGGGAAGUGUAUCAUAAGCUGGAAGGUCAUGACAGCAGGGGACAGUGACAGGGGACACUGAGAGCAGGAGCGGUUGGGUUGGUUGAGUGUGUGUGUGAGAGUCAGUCCUGGUAAAUGCCAGUGGGCUGCAUUUAGGAAAGAAGGAAAGAAGCAGGAGAGACAGGGCUGAAGUCACCCCCCACCCCUUUUUAAUUAAAAUUAAAAAUUUGAAACAGUGUUUCUAAGUUGCUAAGGCUGACCUUGAACUUACUCAGUAGUUCAAGCAGAUCUUGAAUUUGGAGUAUUCCUGUUUCAGCCCUAGUAGCCAGGAUUCUAGGUGUGUACCACCAGGUAUGGCUUGCCCCCAUUUUUAUAGUA
This 8074-nucleotide small RNA is filed under the name Rattus norvegicus (Norway rat). RNAcentral's name for it is "uncharacterized LOC102548902". The record is from RNAcentral. Lineage: Eukaryota; Metazoa; Chordata; Mammalia; Rodentia; Muridae.